UGAGGAAUAUUGAUCAAUGGGCGAAAGCCUGAACCAGCCAUGCCGCGUGAAGGAUGACGGCCCUACGGGUUGUAAACUUCUUUUGUUUGAGAAGAAACCUCCCUACGUGUAGGGGGCUGACGGUAUCGAACGAAUAAGCAUCGGCUAACUCCGUGCCAGCAGCCGCGGUAAUACGGAGGAUGCAAGCGUUAUCCGGAUUCAUUGGGUUUAAAGGGUACGCAGGCGGAAGACUAAGUCAGUGGUGAAAUCCUGCAGCUUAACUGUAGAACUGUCAUUGAUACUGGUUUUCUUGGAUUCAGUUGAGGUAGGCGGAAUGUGUAAUGUAGCGGUGAAAUGCUUAGAUAUUACACAGAACACCGAUUGCGAAGGCAGCUUACUAAACUGCGAUUGACGCUGAGGUACGAAAGCGUGGGUAGCAAACAGGAUUAGAUACCCUGGUAGUCCACGCCGUAAACUAUGAUCACUCGUUGUUGGCAACACAUCGUCAGCGACUGAGCGAAAGCAUUAAGUGAUCCACCUGGGGAGUACGGCCGCAAGGUUG
RNAcentral lists this ribosomal RNA (541 nucleotides) under uncultured bacterium. RNAcentral's name for it is "bacterial SSU rRNA". It matches the Rfam family "Bacterial small subunit ribosomal RNA", at positions 355 to 896 of the family's 1533-position model. The record is from RNAcentral.